This 478-nucleotide ribosomal RNA is filed under the name uncultured bacterium. RNAcentral describes it as "partial 16S ribosomal RNA". It matches the Rfam family "Bacterial small subunit ribosomal RNA", at positions 28 to 507 of the family's 1533-position model. The record is from RNAcentral.
GAUGAACGCUGGCGGCGUGCUUAACACAUGCAAGUCGAACGGGAAAUAUUUCAUUGAGACUUCGGUGGAUUUGAUUUAUUUCUAGUGGCGGACGGGUGAGUAACGCGUGGGUAACCUGCCUUAUACAGGGGGAUAACAGUCAGAAAUGGCUGCUAAUACCGCAUAAGCGCACAGAGCUGCAUGGCUCAGUGCUAAAAACUCCGGUGGUAUAAGAUGGACCCGCGUUGGAUUAGCUAGUUGGUGGGGUAACGGCCCACCAAGGCGACGAUCCAUAGCCGGCCUGAGAGGGUGAACGGCCACAUUGGGACUGAGACACGGCCCAGACUCCUACGGGAGGCAGCAGUGGGGAAUAUUGCACAAUGGGGGAAACCCUGAUGCAGCGACGCCGCGUGAAGGAAGAAGUAUCUCGGUAUGUAAACUUCUAUCAGCAGGGAAGAUAGUGACGGUACCUGACUAAGAAGCCCCGGCUAACUACGUG